This 815-nucleotide ribosomal RNA is filed under the name uncultured bacterium. RNAcentral's name for it is "bacterial SSU rRNA". It matches the Rfam family "Bacterial small subunit ribosomal RNA", at positions 8 to 796 of the family's 1533-position model. The record is from RNAcentral.
AGAGUUUGAUCAUGGCUCAGAACGAACGCUGGCGGCGUGGAUAAGACAUGCAAGUCGGACGCUGAUUGCCGGAUAGCAAUAUUUGGCGGUCGGAGUGGCGUAAGGGUGCGUAACACGUGGGUAAUCCGCCCUGAAGUUGGGGAUAACUCGCUGAAAGGCGAGCUAAUACCGAAUGUGGAUCUUGAGUGGCAUCGCUUGAGAUCUAAAGUUGGGGACCGUAAGGCCUGACGCUUCAGGAUGAGCCCGCGGCCUAUCAGCUUGUUGGUGAGGUAACGGCUCACCAAGGCUAAGACGGGUAGCUGGUCUGAGAGGACGACCAGCCACACUGGAACUGAGACACGGUCCAGACACCUACGGGUGGCAGCAGUCGAGAAUUUUUCACAAUGGGCGAAAGCCUGAUGGAGCGACGCCGCGUGGGGGAUGAAUGGCUUCGGCCCGUAAACCCCUGUCAUUUGCGAACAAACCUUGCCCGCUAACACCGGUCGAGCUGAUUGUAGCGAAAGGGGAAGGGACGGCUAACUCUGUGCCAGCAGCCGCGGUAAUACAGAGGUCCCAAGCGUUGUUCGGAUUCACUGGGCGUAAAGGGUGCGCAGGUGGUCGGGUAAGUCUGAUGUGAAAUCCCGCAGCUUAACUGCGGAAUGGCAUUGGAUACUAUUCGGCUAGAGGGUUGGAGGGGGGACUGGAAUUCUCGGUGUAGCAGUGAAAUGCGUAGAUAUCGAGAGGAACACCAGUGGCGAAGGCGAGUCCCUGGACAACUCCUGACGCUGAGGCACGAAAGCUAGGGGAGCAAACAGGAUUAGAUACCCUAGUAGUCC